GAGAGAGGAGUUGGACAUCUCUUUAUCUCUGGUAGUUAGUCUUCAUUUAAAUUUUUUGGAAAUCGACCCGCGAUGACGAGGUAUAUCGUUUUAUCUGACAGCGUGAGGUUUAUGAACUUCAUUUCUAAUAUUGUAUUGUGGCAUAUCAGAAAUUAUUUUUCUUCGAAAAUCGCUCGCUUACAACGGAUAAAACGACUUCUGAGUGGU
RNAcentral lists this small nucleolar RNA (207 nucleotides) under Bactrocera tryoni. RNAcentral's name for it is "small nucleolar RNA U3". It matches the Rfam family "Small nucleolar RNA U3". From Rfam's summary of the family: Small nucleolar RNAs (snoRNAs) are involved in the processing and modification of rRNA in the nucleolus. The record is from RNAcentral. Lineage: Eukaryota; Metazoa; Arthropoda; Insecta; Diptera; Tephritidae.